CAGCAGCCACGGUAAUACGAAGGGGGCUAGCGUUGCUCGGAAUGACUGGGCGUAAAGGGCGCGUAGGCGGCGAUCAAAGUCAGGCGUGAGAUUCCUGGGCUCAACCUGGGGGCUGCGUUUGAUACUUGAUUGCUAGAGUGGGGAAGAGGGUCGUGGAAUUCCCAGUGUAGAGGUGAAAUUCGUAGAUAUUGGGAAGAACACCGGUGGCGAAGGCGGCGACCUGGUCCUUGACUGACGCUGAGGCGCGAAAGCGUGAGGAGCAAACAGGAUUAGAUACCCCCGUAGUCCCUGUCUCUUAUAC
RNAcentral lists this ribosomal RNA (301 nucleotides) under uncultured bacterium. RNAcentral describes it as "partial 16S ribosomal RNA". It matches the Rfam family "Bacterial small subunit ribosomal RNA", at positions 509 to 807 of the family's 1533-position model. The record is from RNAcentral.